UUUAAAAGUAAUGUUUCUGACAUUGGUAUCCUCAUUAUAACAUGUUAAUGUUGUAGGAUGGGGAAAAGUGUGCUAAGCUUGUGAAACCUAAGAAUGAAGAUGAAGAAAUGGAAGAUGUUCUCGAAACCGGAGAAAAGCAAACAAAGGAAGACACACAGCAAGUGCAAGGCUAUGAAGGUCUUAGACUAAACAUCAUGGAAUCAGAUUCCAUUGAAGCUGCUAUUUUGGACAUAGAAGAGCUUAUUGUUCGACUUGGGUGGCUAAAAGCCAAACUGGAUCCUGAUCUUGGAGAAGGUGCAAAAUCUUAUUGGAAGUAUGAAGAUCACCGCCCAUCUUCCUCGAGAAAGUGAAUUCACAAUCGUAGAAGAAACUGAAGUUGUUUAUGAAGAAUGGAGUAAAAUGGGGUAGAGACGUACGUGAGUAAGAGAAAGCCAAAGUAUAUGAGUAGGUUGUUUAUAUCUUUUCCAAAAACCUAGAAUGUUUAAAAACUAGUUUCAAGUUUUGUACAUAUGUUUUAGAUUUUGUAGGAAUCCCAAUGUGUGCUUGGUAGACAUUUGUAGCUGCUUGACACGAAAGGUCUUUUUAAAGUGAAGUCUUCUCUUCCAUAGAUAAUCUCAGCAACCUGCUUGGAUCUUAUAAGAUGUCAAGAACUUAUCAACUAUCACAGUCCGGUUUUAAUCUCUUCUUGGGAGGCCAUUUUUCGGCCAAAAAUAAUAUGAUUGUGCCUUUCUCCAUGUCCUAUAUAUAAUUGAGUUGGGGUUCAGAUGGAUGAUUCAGUCUAUCGUCUUCAACUAUAACAAAGUAUUAUGCUCGGAUGGUGGAUUUUCGGCCAACAUAAUAAAGCAAAGAAAGAGAGAUGAGAAAACUUUGUCGAAA
Camelina sativa (false flax) is the source of this 876-nucleotide non-coding RNA. The record is from RefSeq and is a predicted model, not a curated record. NCBI's taxonomy places the organism in Eukaryota, Viridiplantae, Streptophyta, Magnoliopsida, Brassicales, Brassicaceae.